Molecule: transfer RNA, 90 nt
Filed under: Photobacterium damselae subsp. piscicida
Lineage: Bacteria; Pseudomonadati; Pseudomonadota; Gammaproteobacteria; Vibrionales; Vibrionaceae
Description: tRNA-Asp
Rfam family: tRNA
About the family: Transfer RNA (tRNA) molecules are approximately 80 nucleotides in length.
Source: RNAcentral
GGAGCGGUAGUUCAGUUGGUUAGAAUACCGGCCUGUCAUGCCGGAGGUCGCGCUGAUUUUCGGUAUAGCAGUCCCGUCCGCUCCGCCACU